UACGUAGGUGGCAAGCGUUGUCCGGAUUUACUGGGCGUAAAGGGCGUGCAGGCGGUCUGCUAAGUCUAGGGUGAAAGCUCCCGGCUCAACUGGGAGAGGUCCUUGGAUACUGGCGGACUUGAGGGAGGUAGAGGAGAGUGGAAUUCCCGGUGUAGUGGUGAUAUGCGUAGAUAUCAGGAGGAACACCGGUGGUGUAGACGGCUCACUGGACCAUAACUGACGCUGAGACACGAAAGCGUGGGUAGCAAACAGG
RNAcentral lists this ribosomal RNA (253 nucleotides) under uncultured bacterium. Its description in RNAcentral is "partial 16S ribosomal RNA". It matches the Rfam family "Bacterial small subunit ribosomal RNA", at positions 524 to 776 of the family's 1533-position model. The record is from RNAcentral.